This is a long non-coding RNA of Bubalus bubalis (water buffalo), 531 nucleotides long. RefSeq lists it as uncharacterized. The transcript has 3 exons. Lineage: Eukaryota; Metazoa; Chordata; Mammalia; Artiodactyla; Bovidae. The record is from RefSeq and is a predicted model, not a curated record.
UCCAAGCCAUUAAAUUCUUUCCAGGCGAGAUAAGGGUCCCGCCCGUCCCACCCAGGGUGUGUCACGUGUAGGGGGGAGGUUCAGACGGACAGAGCAGGAGAGCCUGGAAGGGGGAUUGGAGCGAAGACGGAGCCCCUGUGCCCCCCUGGAGGCAUCGCGCAGUCAUCCCAGCCCCACUGAACCCCUCGACCUGCAGAGAGACUGCCGGGAAACCCAGGGUGAGGGGAUGGGGCCCGCAGGAGAAACUCACCCUUCGGAAGGAGACAACGUAAAAUGUGUCUUCCCGUCGGUCAAUUGCAUCCAGGAACUCGGGCUGCGAACGGUCUGGUUGGCGGUACAGCUGCAGCUGGCCCACAGAAUCCCUGACAGGGGAUCUUCCCCAACCCAGGGAUCAAACGCAUGUCUCUUGGGUCUCCUGCACUGGCAUGCGGAUUCAACUGGGAAACCUGGCUUCCCCUCAAAAAGGAAAGGUAACUUUAGGGGAGAAGACACACUCAGCACCUCUAAAACAGAGAGGGCCCUCUCCUAACC